This 290-nucleotide long non-coding RNA is filed under the name Brassica napus (rape). RNAcentral describes it as "long non-coding RNA (BNAP_LNC006206)". The record is from RNAcentral. Lineage: Eukaryota; Viridiplantae; Streptophyta; Magnoliopsida; Brassicales; Brassicaceae.
UUUUUUUAUCCUGUAUUUCAUUACUUUGUUUUUGUUUCUUGUCUCCCCCUUCGUUGCUUUAGAAGUGUCGCUUCUGUAAACUCAUGGUAACUCUUCUUUCCUCUUGUUUCUCCUUCCUUAUUUUUUUUCCAGAUCUAUGUCUUUUUCAGAAAUUUGUGCUGUCAGCACUCUUCCGCCGAGGCCACCAAACUCAUUCUCACUAAUUGUCAGUGGUAUCCGUUUUUCCGCACCGAACUCAUUUUCACUAAUUGUCGGUGGUAUCGCUGUCGAACGCUGAUGCUCUCCACCAC